GCUUCUUGCGUUUCCUGGCUGAGAGUUCAUCCUGCUCACCGUGUUGAAGCGCAGCCCUUUUUUUCGUGCGUUGCACGGAGUCGCCGCGCUUGCAGCCCCGUUCGCGGCACCACGCUCAGCCCCAGCAGCUUCUCCCGUGCGCCGUCUUGUUUUGCUUCGCAUUGCCGGCUUUCUUGCCUCCAGCAGCGAACGCACUGCCAUCCUUGCUUGGCCUCACAUCCUCCGCAGCUGGGCGUCACCAGGACGCUAUGCACGCUGCUCCCGCAUCUGGAGCUCGCCCACCCUACUCGCUCAUCGUCUGACCAUGCGCACUCGCUGUCGGUCGCGCUCGGCUGCUCGUCGUUGUCCUGCCUCCUCGUCCACGCCGCAGUCGUCAUCGACCCUCUCCAACCUCGUCUGCGUUGCGACCUCCAUCCUGCCUGCUCGCGUUUUCCCCCUCUGCUCAAACGUCGGCGCCCGUGGUGAAGGUAGGCAGCCGCUCUAGCGUUUGGAUUUAUGGGUAGGUUUACUGUGUCUAAAACAGUGCUGAGUAAAAGUUUUAGUGUAUUUAGAGUUGGUUUGUCUAGAGAACAUUGAAAUAGCUAAAAGAGGAAAUAUAAAAGCCACACAAGUAGUGUUAAUAUAUGUUGUAGCGAAGUUAGACCCUAUAAAUUGUUGGGUAGCAAAUUUAAUGAACCUUAGUAUGUUUAGUACUCUAGUUUGUCUAACUAAAUUCAGUUUAGACCUUUAGAUAAAAUAUUAAGUUAAGUAUGGGUAAGCUUGUCAUGCGCUUAGUUAGAGGUGUUUAUGUUCCCCACCUCUCCUUUAUGAGAGUUUGCAUUUCAUAUCAUUACAUAAGCAUCCAUGUAUCUGUAAUUGACUUGUAGAACACCUAGAAGAAGUGAUGUUUGAACAAGAAGUCUACUCCAGUGCCUGUUCAUCAAGUGGAUGGAGCCAUCUAACUGAUCAUCGUGUUAGAAGUAUCUAGAACCUCUUCUCUGCAACAAAGGCAAGCCCCGGUGCAUUUGCCCCUUCCUUAUGUUUUAAAUGCUUUUUCACCUUAUCUGAUGCAUUAGGUGAUAGGAGUUGUGUGAUGAAAAAUUGAUGCAUUACCAUUCCUUGGAAACUCCUUAAUCCCUGUUUUAUAAAGAGAACUGAUAUUGCUUAGCCCUGCUUAAAAACUGAAAAAUCAUUUGUUUUCAAAAAGAAUGAUUGUGGAACAUUGGUUAUGGGCUUUUUAUUCAAAAAUCAAAGGAAACUAAGGUGAUGACUCCACUUCGGCCGGAGUGGGCUCAUCAUUGGAAAAGAGUACCCCUGCCGGGUACCAAAAAUGGGGAAAUGAUUAAUAAAUCUAGACCAGGCGCUGAGCAGACAGAGUCGCCCGUCUGUGUCGAUUAAGGACCGUACCGUUGACUGGCCUAUUGUGGUUGAGACUUUGCAACUAGCCACAUACCCUGGUAUGGGACAGGGUAAGCUUGAACCCGGCUAUUCCAUACGUGAAGAGACAAUCGCGCACUGGGAGUGGAGAGAUGGCGGGAGUAGCAUGUACCCUCCUGGCACAGCGCACGCCUGGUAGGUAAUGUGCUCUCGGGUGGCGCGGACCUAUUCAUGUAGUGGAGGACUCCAUGGGAACGGUUGACAUAUGCAAGGGUUAAGUGCUACAUAUGUCGUGUGGUUAGAGAUCCCCAGCUGGGUAUAAUCGGUUCGAAUCAUCGUUGCUCCUCGGUUAUGGAGACUCAUCCCGGUGACCAUCAUCGUAGUUAGCAAGUGAAAUAUGAGAAUGAAUAAAAUGCAGCUAGUAUAGGCCAAGUGCUUGAAAUAGACUAGGCAAAUAUAGAUGCAGGUAAUAACCUAACUAGUGAAAUAAAACUUGGUUUAAGGAUCAACUGGUAGCAAGCUUUUCUGCAAAAGGAGUCUUUGAUCAUUGAUAAACCUUACCUUGAUUCCCAAUCAACUAGCAUACCCUUGAGAGUCUUUUCUUUAGUCGGGUAAGUCUUGCUGAGUAAUUGCGUACUCAGGGUUUUAUCCCCUGUUGUUUUUGCAGGAGAAGUUUUAUUCCCUUAUCUUUUGGUUAGUUACUUCAUGUGGAGGCCUUGAAGCUUAGAAUGUUUAUGUGUAUCUCUUAUGGAAAGGCUUCACCGUUCCAAUUAUUGUAAUAAGUUAUGCACUUUGGGUACUAUCAGGACUUGUAAUAAAUACAUCUCUUUCUACCUUGUAAAACUUGAGUUCUGGAAUGUAAAGUGUACUUUGUAAAAGCCUUCCGCUCUAUCUCC
This 2252-nucleotide long non-coding RNA is filed under the name Zea mays. RNAcentral describes it as "long non-coding RNA (ZMAY_LNC001492)". The record is from RNAcentral. Lineage: Eukaryota; Viridiplantae; Streptophyta; Magnoliopsida; Poales; Poaceae.